AGGAUAAACGCUGGCGGCGUGCCUAACACAUGCAAGUCGAACGUCCUACGCGCAAGCGUAGGGAGUGGCGGACGGGAUAGUAACACGUGGGAACGCGCCCUUCGGUUCGGAAUAACUCAGGGAAACUUGAGCUAAUACCGGAUACGCCCUUACGGGGAAAGAUUUAUUGCCGAAGGAACGGCCCGCGUCCGAUUAGCUAGUUGGUGAGGUAAUGGCUCACCAAGGCGACGAUCGGUAGCUGGUCUGAGAGGAUGACCAGCAUCACUGGGACUGAGACACGGCCCAGACUCCUACGGGAGGCAGCAGUGGGGAAUAUUGGACAAUGGGCGCAAGCCUGAUCCAGCCAUGCCGCGUGGAUGAUGAAGGCCUUAGGGUUGUAAAGUCCUUUUAACGGGAAGAUAAUGACGGUACCCGUAGAACUAAGCCCCGGCUAACUUCGUGUCAGCAGCCGC
This 452-nucleotide ribosomal RNA is filed under the name uncultured bacterium. Its description in RNAcentral is "SSU rRNA". It matches the Rfam family "Bacterial small subunit ribosomal RNA", at positions 26 to 518 of the family's 1533-position model. The record is from RNAcentral.